GUGGUCGUAGCUCAGUUGGUAGAGCCCCGGAUUGUGAUUCCGGUUGUCGUGGGUUCGAACCCCAUCGAUCACCCCA
Molecule: transfer RNA, 76 nt
Filed under: Agitococcus sp.
Lineage: Bacteria; Pseudomonadati; Pseudomonadota; Gammaproteobacteria; Moraxellales; Moraxellaceae
Also listed under: 3 other names
Description: tRNA-His
Rfam family: tRNA
About the family: Transfer RNA (tRNA) molecules are approximately 80 nucleotides in length. Their secondary structure includes four short double-helical elements and three loops (D, anti-codon, and T loops). Further hydrogen bonds mediate the characteristic L-shaped molecular structure. tRNAs have two regions of fundamental functional importance: the anti-codon, which is responsible for specific mRNA codon recognition, and the 3' end, to which the tRNAs corresponding amino acid is attached (by aminoacyl-tRNA synthetases). tRNAs cope with the degeneracy of the genetic code in two manners: having more than one tRNA (with a specific anti-codon) for a particular amino acid; and 'wobble' base-pairing, i.e. permitting non-standard base-pairing at the 3rd anti-codon position.
Source: RNAcentral